This 302-nucleotide ribosomal RNA is filed under the name Anopheles willmori. RNAcentral's name for it is "eukaryotic LSU rRNA". It matches the Rfam family "Eukaryotic large subunit ribosomal RNA", at positions 675 to 936 of the family's 3401-position model. The record is from RNAcentral. Lineage: Eukaryota; Metazoa; Arthropoda; Insecta; Diptera; Culicidae.
GUGGUGCCCCCGUGCACUGCGCACACGUGUGAACCCCAAAGGCGUAGACAACUCGAACAAGUCUGGGGAUUACGGGCUCGGCACUGGCGCAAGCCUUCGUCGGGCCCCUCCAUCCCGGGGUGUCCCACCAAGCGGGUCUCCGGGCCCGCUGUGGGCAUCCCUCGAGUGCGUAGGAUGCGACCCGAAAGAUGGUGAACUAUGCCUGAUCAGGCCGAAGUCAGGGGAAACCCUGAUGGAGGGCCGAAGCAAUUCUGACGUGCAAAUCGAUUGUCAGAGUUGGGCAUAGGGGCGAAAGACCAAUC